Molecule: ribosomal RNA, 274 nt
Filed under: uncultured bacterium
Lineage: Bacteria
Description: partial 16S ribosomal RNA
Rfam family: Bacterial small subunit ribosomal RNA
Source: RNAcentral
AUACGGAGGGUGCAAGCGUUACUCGGAAUCACUGGGCGUAAAGCGCGCGCAGGCGGUCUUUUAAGUUGGAUGUGAAAGCCUACGGCUCAACCGUAGAACUGCAUCCAAAACUAUUAGACUAGAGUGUGGGAGAGGAAGAUGGAAUUAGUUGUGUAGGGGUAAAUCCGUAGAGAUAACUAGGAAUACCAAAAGCGAAGGCAAUCUUCUGGAACACUAUUGACGCUGAGGCGCGAAAGCGUGGGGAGCAAACAGGAUUAGAAACCCUAGUAGUCCC